RNAcentral lists this ribosomal RNA (460 nucleotides) under uncultured bacterium. Its description in RNAcentral is "partial 16S ribosomal RNA". It matches the Rfam family "Bacterial small subunit ribosomal RNA", at positions 338 to 795 of the family's 1533-position model. The record is from RNAcentral.
CCUACGGGUGGCAGCAGUGAGGAAUAUUGGGCAAUGGACGCAAGUCUGAACCAGCCAUGCCGCGUGAAGGAAGACGGCCCUAUGAGUUGUAAACUGCUUUUGUACGAGGGUAAAGGCAGAUACGUGUACUGUUCUGUAAGUAUCGUACGAAUAAGGCUCGGCUAACUCCGUGCCAUCAGCCGCGGUAAUACGGAGGCUUCGAGCGUUAUCCUGAUUUAUUGGGUUUAAAGGGUGCGUAGGCGGUCGGUUAAGUCAGUUGUGAAAGUCAGCGGCUCAACUUUGGAAUUGCAUCUGAUACUGUGCGGCUUGAGAGUAGCAGAGGUAGGCGGAAUGUGUGGUGUAGCGGUGAAAUGCUUAGAUAUCAUGAAGAACACCGAUUGCGAAGGCAGCUUACUGGGCUAUAACUGACGCUGAGGCACGAAAGCGUGGGUAGCAAACAGGAUUAGAUACCCCUGUAGUC